UUUGUCAUAUUAUACUAGAUCGCAGAUGAGAUGGGUUAGCAGGCAGAGUGCAAACGAGUUGAUCAGGGAUGCAUGAUCUAUGGAAUUUAUCCCAUGGCUGUCAUCACCAUGUGUUUUGUGUUAGUCCCACCAGCAGAGGUGCUAACCCAACAAAUUAAGGAGUAAAAAAUGUGGAUCAUUCAAAAUUGAACAGUCUCAACGUUGGCAUUUAUGAAGCAAACCUGGGCUGUAAUUGCGUGAUAUUUCAUGGAGCAGUUGAUCAGAAUGAUCAGAAAUUGGAUUCAAAAGGAUUCAAUGGCAUGGACACAAAUGAUUCAGAAAUGAUAAUUCAGACGAACGGAUUAGGAAAUGCUUUUAAAUGUGGGGUGCAUAAUUACAGAUUCCAUGAGAAUAACGAUGUGGUAUCCGUAUGGGCUAUAUCCUUUAUUGUAUCCACUUUUAACAAAAUCUCAACUUUUCAUUUCUAUGUUUCCCAAUUUCUUUCAGCACUUUGAUGCAAACUAGGAUUUCAUUCUAUCAUCGUGAAUUUCUGAAGGACCCCUUUCAAGCUACAGUGCUGCUACUUUAGCGAUUUUUCUGCACCAGCAGUUCCACCUUUUAUUAACAGAGAUUGAUUUUCUUCAUCUUUGGCAUGUGGCCUUCCAGAGUGUAUCCUCUGCAUCAUCGCCCAGGAGCAUGUGAAAUAUCAACAGCACAAAAUGUGAAGACUUCAACUUGCAAGGUAUCGGAAAUAACAGCUUCUGGAUCAUCAGAUGAAAAAACUCUGUGAAGAAAUUUCUAUACUCUGUGAAGCCAACAUGGUCCUGUUAGCUACAGGAAUAUAAGCGCCUUCUUUAAAAGACUUUAGUCUCAAUCAAGACUGUAGGUAUAGAUAGGUCCCAAUCCUGCACAGACUUGUGCGCGCUGCUGAAUUUUACCUACUGAUUCCCAAGAGACCACCUCGCAGAUGUCAAACACGAGUCCCUUUCCUAAGCCAGACAGAGUUGCCGUACUGCUAGUUUACUCAGCAUGAAUAAGAAAGGGAGAAGAUUUGUGUUACCUCUUGCAUGCUUCUGCACUGGUGUGAUAAAAAUAAGCAUCCCCAUUUCCUGGGUGAGGGACAGUAGAGGAGAGUCUUUAAAAUUUCCUGACUGGUCUAGCCCCUAUAAAUAUUUUAAUGCCCUCCUAACAUACACGUCUCUCCUGUUUGAUUUCUAUGGCUUAAGGGCAUAAGAUUUCCAGUCUUACUUCAAAAUUGGAGUGAAAAUGUAAUAUCCUUUUAAGAUAAAAUGAAGAAUCUAAAGCACUGUAUGUUUUGUAAAGCUCAGGAAAGGUUCAUUAAGUAACUAAUGCUGGUAGUUCUGCAGUCAUUUGAAGGGUAUAAACACUAAAAAGAAGAAUUGCAGAUGGUGCAAAGCGUUCAGCUAGGGGUGACAGAAUUAUAUUGGCCAAAGGAAAAUGUGGGCUGAGCUAGAGAAAAAACUAAAAGCAUUUGCUGCAUGCUGUAAUCCUGAUAUUGACAGGGAAAGGCCUAGCUGACCAAUAGGUUUUUCCAUAUCUAAUUUUUAUGAUUUCCUACUUAAAAUUGUAACAUUACUGCUUUCAAAGGCUCUAAAGGACAUUCUUGUAAGACUCUGACGAUAGAUCUCCACAUGGAGUAGUUAUGUUUUCUGGGAUUUUACCAUAUAGGUUAACUUUCUGGAUAUCUUUCCAAAACGUUAAGCCACAAGACAAUAACCAAAGUAUUCUUUGUCAUGGUACACUAGACCAAUUGAAGCCAGUGAAUCUGCUCAUGUGAGUAUGACUCUCUUGGUAUAUCAAAAGCUGGAACUGCUGAAAAGUAUGCCCUGCAUAUGGAAAGUUUUAAAUCACUAUGAAAUCAGGUGGACAAGUGGGGUCAUAGAACUAUAGGGUGGAAGGGACCUUGAAAGGUCAGCUAGUCCAGCCCCCUGCAUUAAAACAGGACUGAGUAAUAAUAGGCUAUCCCCGAGAGGAGUUUGUCCAAUCUGUUGUUAAAAACUUCCGAUGACGGGGAUUCCACAGCCACUAUUGGAAGCCUAUUCCAGAAUUUAACUAUCCUUAUAGUUGGUUUUCCUAACCUAAAUCUUCCUUGCUGCAGAUUAAGCCCAUCACUUCUUGUCCUACCUUCAGCAGACAUGGAGAACAACUAAUCACCACCCUCUUUAUAACUGCCCUUAACAUAUUUGAAGACUGUUACCAGGUCCCUCCUGAGUCUUCUUUUUUCAUAACUAAACACGCCCAGGUUUUUUUUAACCUUCCCUCAUAGGUCAGGUUUUCUAAACCUUUUAUCCUUUUCCUUGCUCUUCUCUGGACUCUCUCCAAUUUGUCCACAUCGCUCCUAAAGCGUGGGACUAUACUUCAGCUGAGGCCUCAUUAAUAUACAGCAGAAGAUCUACAGAUCAUCUUGCAAAAAACGUGCCCUUGAUAUAGCAGGCUGGAAGCCAUCCAGACUGCAAUGACUGCUGAAGUUGCUUAUCAUCUCCUAGCUCCAAACUUUAGUGCAGGGGAUAUGGAAGAUGGCAUAGCCUUCAUCCCUUUCAAUUCCUUUCCAACCCCUGAGAGCAUGAAAAGAACUCCAAAGUGCUGGGAUGAGAGAAUGUGGCUUUCUUGAGGCAACAUACUCCAGUUAUAGGUUAAAAACUUUUCUUCCUUUGGGAAUUAUCUCUGCUGUCUUCCUUUCUUAGGAGAUCAGCUAGCAGAAACCACCCCACAGAGGGCUAAGCAGCAUUAAAUGAAGACAGCAAAUUGCUCUCCUGAACUGGGCAUCCAGUCUGCCUUCUGCAUCGUGCAGAGUAAUACUAGUAGUUUAACUGGUGGCCCAGUACCCUUUCUUUUUGUAUUAUCAGAGAGAGCAAAUAGGAGCACGUAGCUUAGCUUCUCUAUGGGCAGGUCUUCACUACCCACCAGAUCGGUGGAUAGUGAUAGAUCUAUCGGGGAUCGAUUUAUCAUGUCUCAUGUAGACAUGGAUAAAUCGAUCCCCGAACACGCUCCCCGUCGACUCUGGAACUCCAGUUCGCGAGAGGCGGAAGCGGAGUCGACGUGGGAGCGGCAGCGGUCGACUCGCCGCCGUCCUCACGGCCAGGUAAGUCGACCUAAGAUACGUUGACUUCAGCUACGCUAAUUGCAUAGCUGAAGCUGCGUAUCUUAGGUUGACCCUCCCACCCCAGUGUAGACUAGGACUAUGCCAUUCUUUCUUUAUCACUUCUAUCAUGGCUCUUUCCUACUCCCCUCAAAACUAAGCAUACUAAUUGUUUUAGGUCUGUCCUCACAUGGAAGGUUCUGUGUACCUCAAAGUGUUUUCAUUGCCUUUCACUGAACCCUUUCCAUUUUUUCGCAUAUUCUGUAUAUUUUGUGGCACCUUCAGAGUGGGGUUAUAAUACGUUCACAGUCAUUCUCUAUCACUUUCUUGUGCCCAUGAAACAUUGUGUUUGCUUGCUUGCCCCAUACUGUGCAGUUAUAGAAAGGUUGAUAUCUUUUUAAGGUGUGCGUGUGUCUCACUAAUAAAUAUAUUUCUGUGUUAUGGUA
Malaclemys terrapin pileata is the source of this 3525-nucleotide long non-coding RNA. RefSeq lists it as uncharacterized. The transcript has 2 exons. The record is from RefSeq and is a predicted model, not a curated record. NCBI's taxonomy places the organism in Eukaryota, Metazoa, Chordata, Testudines, Emydidae.